UUCAUUAUGUUCCUUGGUACUCCACAUAUGGUCAAACCUCCUCCUGCUGGGUUUAAGCAAUUCUCCGCCUCACCCUUCUGAGUAGCUGCGAUUAGAGGAACCCGCCAUCACGCCCGGCAGCUGUUGACUGCAUUCACUCAUGAGACUCAGGACCUCAACAGUGGUCUUUGUCCAUGUGUUAUAGUGACAAUAGUAACUGCUGUCUGGGAUUGCAUACAAGAAUAAAAAUCUCAUCUUUGUGCUGGACCACAUUAUAUUUCACAAUCUUACCUGUGGGAAAGGCUGAGAAAUGAGAAAUGAGAGUAACAUCACCUGAAUUCUUCACCUGGAAUAUGUCUCAAUCUCCCCAAUGGGCAAGGCCCAGGCUGGAGAAUCAGAUCACUUGCAUGCAGGGCCGAGUGACAUAUUACAUUUUCUCUAGGCACAGUCCAGGCAGGAGAGUGACAACAUUUGAGUGCUGGGCUCAGAGAUAUGCCACAAUCCCUUUUUUAGGCACGUCUCCUGCAACAGACAAGAGGCACAUUAUGUAGAAAAUUGGUUCAGGGGUUUGUCACAAUGUCCCCUUUGGGUGGUGCACAGGCAAGUGAGGAGAGUCGAAUCACCCAGAUAAUGGAACUAGCAAUAUGUCACAAUGUCCCCUGAUGGAAGGGCAAAGACAAGAAAGUCACAUAAGCUAGGUGAGAAAACUGACAUAUGUCACAAUGCAUGCUAUGAGUAGGGAUCAUGGAAAAGAGGAGAGUCACAUAACCUAGGGGCUAUACCCAGGUAUAUGUAACAAUCAUUCCAGUGGGCAGGGCCUAUGCAUAAGGGGAGAGUCACAUCACAUAAAUGCUGGGCCUAGCGAUAUGUCACAAUCCCCACUGUGUACAGGUCCCAGAAUAAAGUAAAGAGUCAUAUCAUCUACAUGUUGGGACCAAAGAUAUGUAUCAAUGACACCUGUGGGCAGGGACCAGGCAGAAGAGCCACAGCACCUGUGUGCUGGACCCUGUGAUAAGUUACUAUUUAUCUGUUGGCAUGGCUCCAUCAGAAGAGGCAAAUCCAACCACCUGGGUGCUGGACCCAGUGAUAUGUCACAAUGUGUUCCAUAGGUAAAGCCCAGGUAACAGAGGAGACUCACAUCAAAUAGUUGAUGGGCACAGAGAUAUUUCACAAUGCUCCCUGUGAACAGGGUGCAGGCAGGAGACUCACAUCACCUUUGUCCUGGGCCACUAUCUUUUGUGUGAGCAGAACAUAGGAAAAAGAGAACCGCUGGCUGGGCACGGUGGCUCACACCUGUAAUUGCAGCACUUUGGGAGGCUGAGGAGGGUGGAUUGCCUGAGAUCAUGAGUUCAAGAUCAGCCUGACCAACAAGGUGAAGCCCCGUCUCUACUAAAAAUACAAAAUAUAUCAAGUGUGGUGGCAGGCACCUGUAGUCCCAGCCCCUCAGGAGGCUGAGGCAGAAGAAUUACUUGAACCCAGGAGCAGAGAUUGCAGUGAGCCAAGAUUGUGCCACUGCACUCCAGCCUGGGUGAUGGAGUGAGACUCAAUCUCAGAAAAAAAAAAAAA
RNAcentral lists this long non-coding RNA (1545 nucleotides) under Macaca fascicularis (crab-eating macaque). RNAcentral's name for it is "lncRNA (ENSMFAG00000056183.1)". Lineage: Eukaryota; Metazoa; Chordata; Mammalia; Primates; Cercopithecidae. The record is from RNAcentral.